UUGGAUCUAUGAUAUAAUGCUGACUAUGAGAAUCUUGCCUAUUUUUCUGACUAUAAUUUUGGCAAAGGUGACUAUGUGGACAUAGAAUUAGUGAGAACUUGUACAAUUAGUUCAAUAGCCCACAUGGAAUCAAGCUCUAAAGAGAAAGUAGAAACUGGAAUUCUAGAUGUUUUAAGCAUUUGGUACUGUGGAUUAUUUCUCAAAUCAUCACUAUGAAGGCCUAGGAUUUCCACAGCAGCAGUUACAGGACAGUUGGGCCAAGAGACUUCUCUUUGAGAGUGGUUCAAACAAUGGCACCAAAUAUAGGAUUUAUAGGUUUUAUCUACUGAUACCAGGAUAUAUGUGAAAUUUCAUGC
This 356-nucleotide long non-coding RNA is filed under the name Carica papaya (papaya). Its description in RNAcentral is "long non-coding RNA (CPAP_LNC006351)". The record is from RNAcentral. Lineage: Eukaryota; Viridiplantae; Streptophyta; Magnoliopsida; Brassicales; Caricaceae.